RNAcentral lists this ribosomal RNA (497 nucleotides) under uncultured bacterium. Its description in RNAcentral is "partial 16S ribosomal RNA". It matches the Rfam family "Bacterial small subunit ribosomal RNA", at positions 28 to 507 of the family's 1533-position model. The record is from RNAcentral.
GAUGAACGCUGGCGGCGUGCCUAAUACAUGCAAGUCGAGCGAACGGACGAGAAGCUUGCUUCUCUGAUGUUAGCGGCGGACGGGUGAGUAACACGUGGAUAACCUACCUAUAAGACUGGGAUAACUUCGGGAAACCGGAGCUAAUACCGGAUAAUAUUUUGAACCGCAUGGUUCAAAAGUGAAAGUCGGUCUUGCUGUCACUUAUAGAUGGAUCCGCGCUGCAUUAGCUAGUUGGUAAGGUAACGGCUUACCAAGGCAACGAUGCAUAGCCGACCUGAGAGGGUGAUCGGCCACACUGGAGCUGAGACACGGUCCAGACUCCUACGGGAGGCAGCAGUAGGGAAUCUUCCGCAAUAGGCGAAAGCCUGACGGAGCAACGCCGCGUGAGUGAUGAAGGUCUUCGGAUCGGAAAACUCUGUUAUGAGGGAAGAACAUAUGUGUAAGUAACUGUGCACAUCUUGACGGUACCGAAUCAGAAAGCCACGGCUAACUACGUG